RNAcentral lists this ribosomal RNA (740 nucleotides) under eukaryote SCGC AAA074-F18. Its description in RNAcentral is "bacterial SSU rRNA". It matches the Rfam family "Bacterial small subunit ribosomal RNA", at positions 89 to 859 of the family's 1533-position model. The record is from RNAcentral. RNAcentral also lists the same sequence under 3 other names.
UUUUUAGUGGCGAACGGGUGAGUAACACGUGAGAAUCUGCCCUUAGGAAGAGGAUAACAUUUAGAAACAUUUGCUAAUACUCUAUAUGCCUUGCGGUGAAAGAAUUUAUUCGCCUAAGGAGGAGCUCGCGUCUGAUUAGCUAGUAGGUGGGGUAAAGGCCUACCUAGGCGACGAUCAGUAGUUGGUCUGAGAGGACGACCAGCCACAUUGGAACUGAGACACGGUCCAGACUCUUACGGGAGGCAGCAGUGAGGAAUUUUCUGCAAUGGGCGCAAGCCUGACAGAGCAAUACCGCGUGAGGGAUGACUGCCUACGGGUUGUAAACCUCUUUUCUCAAGGAGGAAGAUCUGACGUUACUUGAGGAAUAAGCAUCGGCUAACCCUGUGCCAGCAGCCGCGGUAAUACAGGGGAUGCAAGUGUUAUCCGGAAUUAUUGGGCGUAAAGCGUCUGCAGGUUGAUAUGUAAGUCUUUUGUUAAAACUUUGAGCUUAACUCAAAUUCCGCAAAAGAAACUAUUUAUCUUGAGUAUGGUAGAGGUAAAGGGAAUUUCCAGUGGAGCGGUGAAAUGCGUAGAUAUUGGAAAGAACACCAACAGCGAAGGCACUUUACUGGGCCAUUACUGACACUCAGAGACGAAAGCUAGGGUAGCAAACGGGAUUAGAUACCCCGGUAGUCCUAGCCGUAAACGAUGGAUACUAGAUGUUGCGUACUUUUAUAGUAUGCAGUGUCGUAGCUAACGCG